This 414-nucleotide ribosomal RNA is filed under the name uncultured microorganism. Its description in RNAcentral is "bacterial SSU rRNA". It matches the Rfam family "Archaeal small subunit ribosomal RNA", at positions 459 to 872 of the family's 1478-position model. The record is from RNAcentral.
CAGCCGCCGCGGUAAUACCGGCGGCCCGAGUGGCGGUCACUAUUAUUGGGCUUAAAGCGUCCGUAGCCGGGUUGGGAAGUCCUCCGGGAAAUCUGGCCGCUUAACGGUCAGAAUGCCGGAGGAUACUCCCAGCCUAGGGAGCGGGAGAGGCCGAGGGGAUUCCCGGAGUAGGGGUGAAAUCCUAUAAUCCCGGGAGGACCACCUGUGGCGAAGGCGCUCGGCUGGAACGCGUCCGACGGUGAGGGACGAAGGCCAGGGGAGCAAACCGGAUUAGAUACCCGGGUAGUCCUGGCGGUAAACGAUGCGGACUUUGUGUCGGACAAGCUAUGAGCUUGUCCGGUGCCGGAGGGAAACCGUUAAGUCCGCCGCCUGGGGAGUACGGCCGCAAGGCUGAAACUUAAAGGAAUUGGCGGG